RNAcentral lists this ribosomal RNA (626 nucleotides) under Trichosporon aquatile. Its description in RNAcentral is "eukaryotic LSU rRNA". It matches the Rfam family "Eukaryotic large subunit ribosomal RNA", at positions 47 to 663 of the family's 3401-position model. Lineage: Eukaryota; Fungi; Basidiomycota; Tremellomycetes; Trichosporonales; Trichosporonaceae. The record is from RNAcentral.
UAAGCGGAGGAAAAGAAACUAACAAGGAUUCCCCUAGUAACGGCGAGUGAAGCGGGAAGAGCUCAAAUUUGAAAUCUGGCAGUCUUCGAUUGUCCGAGUUGUAAUCUAUAGAGGCGUUUUCCGUGCCGGACCGUGUCCAAGUCUCCUGGAAAGGAGUAUCAAAGAGGGUGAUAAUCCCGUACUUAACACGAUAACCGGUGCUCUGUGAUACGUCUUCUACGAGUCGAGUUGUUUGGGAAUGCAGCUCAAAAUGGGUGGUGAAUUCCAUCUAAAGCUAAAUAUUGGCGAGAGACCGAUAGCGAACAAGUACCGUGAGGGAAAGAUGAAAAGCACUUUGGAAAGAGAGUUAAACAGUACGUGAAAUUGUUGAAAGGGAAACGAUUGAAGUCAGUCGUGUUCUUUGGAUUCAGCCAGUUCUGCUGGUCUACUUCCUUAGAACGGGUCAACAUCAGUUUUGUCCGGUGGAUAAAGGUAGUAGGAAUGUAGCUUCUUUGAAGUGUUAUAGCCUAUUGCCACAUACACUGGGUGAGACUGAGGACUGCAGCUCGCCUUUAUGGCCGGUCUUCGGACACGUUCGAGCUUAGGAUGUUGACAUAAUGGCUUUAAACGACCCGUCUUGAAACACG